This 309-nucleotide ribosomal RNA is filed under the name Platybdellinae sp. PT-2003. RNAcentral describes it as "partial 12S ribosomal RNA". Lineage: Eukaryota; Metazoa; Annelida; Clitellata; Hirudinida; Piscicolidae. The record is from RNAcentral.
ACAUUAGUUCUAAAUCUAAAAAAUUUGGCGGUAUUUUAAAAAAUCAGGGGAACUUGCAUAUUAAAUCGAUAAUCCACGAAACUCUUACCUAUAUUUGAAAAUCAGUUAGUAUAUUGCCGUUAUCAUAUAAAUUUAUAAUUAUAUAUAAAUAAAAUAAAUUAUUUUAUACAACAGGUCAAAAUGCUGCUUACAUAUAGGGGUUUUGUGAGUUACAAUAUUAAAAAUAUAUGAAUUAAACUUAAUAAAUAUUUUAUGAAAUUGGACUUGAUAGUAAUUAUAAAAAAUAAUGAAUAAACUCUUAAAAUGUGU